UCUCAGCUCCGUCGCUUCACUCGCCCCCUUCCUCUUCAUCUCCGAUUCUUCCUUUUUUCAACAACUGAACCUCCCUCAUCUCUCUAAAUUCUUUCUUCUCUUUAAACCGUGCCCUUCAAGCUCCUGUUUUUGAAUCUCAUCUUUCUCUCAAGAUAUAAAUCUUUUAGUCUUGCAUUUCAAAAUUUCGAUUGAGGUUUUCAAUUGCGGCUUCAAUGGCGAGAUCUGGCAUCUGAUUCCUCCAUCGGGGAUCAAGCCACGUCGUCUCCUCCAACAAGAAGAAUUUCUCCACCUCCGCUCAUUACGGGGAUGCUCGGAGUUCCCAUGGGGGCAAGACUUGUGGUAUCCUUUUCUCUUUUUCUUUUGCCCAACUAUUAUGACUAUUUUGAAAGUUUGAGUAAAACCUUCACCAGUCCGAGACUCAUGUAAGCUAAAGGAGAUUUUUGCUAUUGGUGUUGUUCUGGGUACUUUAAUCGCUGUUAUGACAGUAAUUUUUUUCUGGCUUGCACGAGAUACUGACUUCUUCUCGGACAAUUUUGGACUAAGAUCGAUUAGAGAAGAGGAUGAGCAGCUUAUUGCAGCUUUGUAUCUUCAAUAGAUACGACAAUUGUCGCAAAAGAGUGUGGAAAUGUUAUCAAGAACCAUACAGCAUGUUGUCAUUCUAUGAGCAAAUAUAUUUCUCAUUUGCAAAAGCAAAGUUUCAUAACCAACCUACAAGCAUUGGAUUGUGCUGCCAAGCUUGGGCAUGCAUCAGUUGCAGAAGAUAAAUGUCAGCACCAACAUUUAUACAUCCUGUCAUAUUACUCUAAAAGACUUUUCACUUCAAGUUGGCUCAAGAGUAUGGAUGCCUCUUGCCAAGUUUGCCUUCAGAUGGAACUUUUGAUCCUUCUGCAGGGAUUAGUUUCAUUUGUGAUCUUAAUGAUAAUAUUGCUGCCCCUUGGCCUUCUGCAUCACUGGCACCUUCAUCUUCCUGCAAUAAGAGUAUGGUCUAACUCUAUCCAUUUUCAUUCUCAUUCCCAUUCACCCGAAAAUUGUUGCAGAUGCACGUCUCAAAUUCAUAUGAGCAUUACCUGUUUAAUAUAUUGUUUUGGGAGUGUGAACAGCAUGGGCUAAUUCAUGCUAAAGGGCAUCAUGUAUGGUUUUAAUUUGGUCUAAUUUGUGCACCAUUUUGUUUUGGAGAUAUGUUUCCAGUAGUCUGUUCUAAAGUUUAUACUAAGGUAAAUUGCAUAUUGAUCGUGUCAAGUGUAACAAUGCUAGAGUCCUAAAUAAGUUCAAACCACUUCGAAAUAACCCCGAAAAGUUUGGGUAUAUCUUAACGAUAAAAAACUUUUGAGAUGUCAUAUUAACAUAAAUUGAGAAAUAUGCCAGAGUUUAAACUUAAUUAUAGAUUUUACGAUGGUUAUCUCAAAGUGGGUCAAGUUUUUUAGUGGUUUUAUGUGAAUUCUACACUUGAUUUGAGUCAUAUAAGGGGAUAUGUAGUAUCAUGUAUGAUAGCUAUAGACCUAAUAGUACAAAAGAAGAGAUGUGAUUAUGUAUGGUGGACCUUGUCUACACAAUUAGAUGGCCAUCAUAGAAAAUCACAUAUUACUAAGGAGAAUGCAACAUUGUGUGCCCAUUUAAUUUUAAAAUUAGUGUUAUCAGUAAAAGCAAAAUAGACUAUUAAAGUAUCAAUGCAAAUUAACUAUUAAAUUUCGUAGAAUUGAUAUAUAGCUCAAUACAACCAUCAAUUUUAAGCUCUUAUCUUUGUCACUCGAGCAAGGAGCUGGUCCGAUGUUGAGCGGCCCGGUCUUUUGCUUCUUGGUGCCUUCGCAGCUGCACAACUGGUAGCUACAAUAAUUGCAACGUAUGCACACUGGGGCUUUGCUCGCGUUAAAGUUUGUGGAUGGGGACGGGCAGGAGUCUUAUGGCUCUAUAGCAUCGUCAUCUACAUUCCGCUUGAUAUCCUUAAGUUCAUGAUCUGCUACAGUCUGAACGGGAAAGCUUGGUGAAGCCUCCUCGAGAACAAGGUCAUUGUUGAUUCUUGUGACAUUUAUUUUCGCUACGUUCGUGUUUUCUAUUUCUCAAAUAAAAUUGGAAAAGUACAUACAACAUUCACAACAAAGAAGGAUUAUGGAAAAGAGCAGAGGGAGGCAUAGUGGCCUCUUGCUCAGAGAAUGCUUCAUGGGCUUCAUAAGGGUGAUUUUUUCUGGCCUCUUCAAUGACAAGAAUAGAGAGUUGUCUAAGAUUGCUGAGCAGGCGAAGAGACGAGCUGAGAUGCCAAGUGAAUGGAAAGGAGACUACUACCCUUUAUAAGUUCUUAAAAUUAAAGAAAGAAGGUUUUUUUGGCGAUGGCAUCAAGUGUAAUUUCACUAAAUUCUUUGUGGACAAAGAUGGAAAAGUCGUGGAAAUAUAUGCACUAACAACCUCACCUUUGAAAAUGGAGGUACAACUUUGACAAUGUAUUGUAUAAUUUUGCUUCACUGUUAUUUGUACUUAUUAUUGCAACUAUACUUUAUCUUCCAAAAAACAAUACAGAGUUUUUUGGGGUUCGCAAGAAUUUAAGUGCCUUCUUUGAGGGACUAUAUUGCUGGUAA
Long non-coding RNA from Asparagus officinalis (garden asparagus), 2570 nucleotides. RefSeq lists it as uncharacterized. The record is from RefSeq and is a predicted model, not a curated record. The transcript is spliced from 8 exons. Lineage: Eukaryota; Viridiplantae; Streptophyta; Magnoliopsida; Asparagales; Asparagaceae.